CCCUUAGACGUCCUGGGCCGCACGCGCGCUACACUGAUGCAUUCAACAAGUUCUACCUUGGCCGAGAGGCCUGGGCAAUCUUUUAAACGUGCAUCGUGAUAGGGAUAGAUUAUUGAAAUUUUUAAUCUUGAACGAGGAAUUCCUAGUAAACGCAGAUCAUCAAUCUGCAUUGAUUACGUCCCUGCCCUUUGUACACACCGCCCGUCGCUACUACCGAUUGAAUGGUUUAGUGAGGCCUUCGGAUCCGCGACUCGUUUGUGGAGAAGUUGGACAAACUCAGUCAUUUAGAGGAAGUAAAAGUCGUAACA
This 308-nucleotide ribosomal RNA is filed under the name uncultured eukaryote. RNAcentral's name for it is "partial 18S ribosomal RNA". It matches the Rfam family "Eukaryotic small subunit ribosomal RNA", at positions 1470 to 1796 of the family's 1831-position model. The record is from RNAcentral.